This 1398-nucleotide ribosomal RNA is filed under the name synthetic construct. Its description in RNAcentral is "bacterial SSU rRNA". It matches the Rfam family "Bacterial small subunit ribosomal RNA". RNAcentral also lists the same sequence under 2 other names. The record is from RNAcentral.
AGAGUUUGAUCCUGGCUCAGGAUGAACGCUAGCGGCAGGCUUAACACAUGCAAGUCGAGGGGCAGCGGGGAGGAAGCUUGCUUUCUCCGCCGGCGACCGGCGCACGGGUGAGUAACACGUAUGCAACCUGCCCCUGUCAGGGGGACAACCCGCCGAAAGGCGGGCUAAACCCGCGUACAUGCCACCGGGGCAUCCCGGAGGCAGGAAAGGCUUCGGCCGGACAGGGAUGGGCAUGCGGCGCAUUAGGCAGUAGGCGGGGUAACGGCCCACCUAACCGACGAUGCGUAGGGGUUCUGAGAGGAAGGUCCCCCACACUGGUACUGAGACACGGACCAGACUCCUACGGGAGGCAGCAGUGAGGAAUAUUGGUCAAUGGUCGGGAGACUGAACCAGCCAAGCCGCGUGAGGGAUGACGGCCCUACGGGUUGUAAACCUCUUUUGCCGGGGAGCAAAGAGCGGGACGCGUCCCGCCUCGAGAGUACCCGGAGAAAAAGCAUCGGCUAACUCCGUGCCAGCAGCCGCGGUAAUACGGAGGAUGCGAGCGUUAUCCGGAUUUAUUGGGUUUAAAGGGUGCGCAGGCGGCGAGUUAAGUCAGCGGUAAAAUUUCGGGGCUCAACCCCGACGAGCCGUUGAAACUGGCUUGCUAGAGUGGGCGAGAAGUAUGCGGAAUGCGUGGUGUAGCGGUGAAAUGCAUAGAUAUCACGCAGAACUCCGAUUGCGAAGGCAGCAUACCGGCGCCCAACUGACGCUCAGGCACGAAAGCGUGGGUAUCGAACAGGAUUAGAUACCCUGGUAGUCCACGCAGUAAACGAUGAGCACUAAUUGUCCGGUCCGAGUGAGGGCUGGGUGAUACAGCGAAAGCGUUAAGUGCUCCACCUGGGGAGUACGCCGGCAACGGUGAAACUCAAAGGAAUUGACGGGGGCCCGCACAAGCGGAGGAACAUGUGGUUUAAUUCGAUGAUACGCGAGGAACCUUACCCGGGCUCAAACGGGGAGUGACUCAGGCAGAGACGCCUGUUUCCCACGGGACACUCCCCGAGGUGCUGCAUGGUUGUCGUCAGCUCGUGCCGUGAGGUGUCGGCUUAAGUGCCAUAACGAGCGCAACCCCCGCGUGCAGUUGCUAACAGAUAACGCUGAGGACUCUGCACGGACUGCCGGCGCAAGCCGCGAGGAAGGCGGGGAUGACGUCAAAUCAGCACGGCCCUUACGUCCGGGGCGACACACGUGUUACAAUGGGUGGUACAGCGGGAAGCCAGGCGGCGACGCCGAGCGGAACCCGAAAUCCACUCUCAGUUCGGAUCGGAGUCUGCAACCCGACUCCGUGAAGCUGGAUUCGCUAGUAAUCGCGCAUCAGCCAUGGCGCGGUGAAUACGUUCCCGGGCCUUGCACACACCGCCC